Molecule: small nuclear RNA, 147 nt
Organism: Talpa occidentalis (Iberian mole)
Lineage: Eukaryota; Metazoa; Chordata; Mammalia; Eulipotyphla; Talpidae
Product: U4 spliceosomal RNA
Exons: 1
Source: RefSeq, a predicted model, not a curated record
AGCUUUGCGCAGUGGCAGUAUCGUAGCCAAUGAGGUUUAUCCGAGGCGCGAUUAUUGCUAAUUGAAAAAAAUUUUUUUUCCCUUAUAAACAAAAAGAAUAAAGCACUAUCAGUGAGUCAGCCCGUAAGUAGGCAAGCUUUUAGAAGC